AUUUGAAGCUGCGGAAUGCUUUACACAUGCAAGUCGAACGGUAGAGGGGGCAACCCCUUGAGAGUGGCGAACGGGUGAGUAAUAUAUCGGAACGUGCCCAGUCGUGGGGGAUAACGUAGUGAAAAUUACGCUAAUACCGCAUACGAUCUAAGGAUGAAAGCGGGGGAUCGCAAGACCUCGCGCGACUGGAGCGGCCGAUAUCAGAUUAGGUAGUUGGUAGGGUAAAGGCCUACCAAGCCAACGAUCUGUAGCUGGUCUGAGAGGACGACCAGCCACACUGGAACUGAGACACGGUCCAGACUCCUACGGGAGGCAGCAGUGGGGAAUUUUGGACAAUGGGCGAAAGCCUGAUCCAGCCAUUCCGCGUGCAGGAUGAAGGCCCUCGGGUUGUAAACUGCUUUUGUACAGAACGAAAAGGUCUCUAUUAAUACUAGGGGCUCAUGACGGUACUGUAAGAAUAAGCACCGGCUAACUACGUGCCAGCAGCCGCGGUAAUACGUAGGGUGCAAGCGUUAAUCGGAAUUACUGGGCGUAAAGCGUGCGCAGGCGGUUAUAUAAGUCAGAUGUGAAAUCCCCGGGCUCAACCUGGGAACUGCAUUUGAGACUGUAUAGCUAGAGUACGGUAGAGGGGGAUGGAAUUCCGCGUGUAGCAGUGAAAUGCGUAGAUAUGCGGAGGAACACCGAUGGCGAAGGCAAUCCCCUGGACCUGUAC
Molecule: ribosomal RNA, 712 nt
Filed under: uncultured bacterium
Lineage: Bacteria
Description: bacterial SSU rRNA
Rfam family: Bacterial small subunit ribosomal RNA
Source: RNAcentral